This 1372-nucleotide ribosomal RNA is filed under the name Streptococcus thermophilus. RNAcentral's name for it is "bacterial SSU rRNA". It matches the Rfam family "Bacterial small subunit ribosomal RNA", at positions 75 to 1434 of the family's 1533-position model. Lineage: Bacteria; Bacillati; Bacillota; Bacilli; Lactobacillales; Streptococcaceae. The record is from RNAcentral.
GGAGCUUGCUCUUCUUGGAUGAGUUGCGAACGGGUGAGUAACGCGUAGGUAACCUGCCUUGUAGCGGGGGAUAACUAUUGGAAACGAUAGCUAAUACCGCAUAACAAUGGAUGACACAUGUCAUUUAUUUGAAAGGGGCAAUUGCUCCACUACAAGAUGGACCUGCGUUGUAUUAGCUAGUAGGUGAGGUAAUGGCUCACCUAGGCGACGAUACAUAGCCGACCUGAGAGGGUGAUCGGCCACACUGGGACUGAGACACGGCCCAGACUCCUACGGGAGGCAGCAGUAGGGAAUCUUCGGCAAUGGGGGCAACCCUGACCGAGCAACGCCGCGUGAGUGAAGAAGGUUUUCGGAUCGUAAAGCUCUGUUGUAAGUCAAGAACGGGUGUGAGAGUGGAAAGUUCACACUGUGACGGUAGCUUACCAGAAAGGGACGGCUAACUACGUGCCAGCAGCCGCGGUAAUACGUAGGUCCCGAGCGUUGUCCGGAUUUAUUGGGCGUAAAGCGAGCGCAGGCGGUUUGAUAAGUCUGAAGUUAAAGGCUGUGGCUCAACCAUAGUUCGCUUUGGAAACUGUCAAACUUGAGUGCAGAAGGGGAGAGUGGAAUUCCAUGUGUAGCGGUGAAAUGCGUAGAUAUAUGGAGGAACACCGGUGGCGAAAGCGGCUCUCUGGUCUGUAACUGACGCUGAGGCUCGAAAGCGUGGGGAGCGAACAGGAUUAGAUACCCUGGUAGUCCACGCCGUAAACGAUGAGUGCUAGGUGUUGGAUCCUUUCCGGGAUUCAGUGCCGCAGCUAACGCAUUAAGCACUCCGCCUGGGGAGUACGACCGCAAGGUUGAAACUCAAAGGAAUUGACGGGGGCCCGCACAAGCGGUGGAGCAUGUGGUUUAAUUCGAAGCAACGCGAAGAACCUUACCAGGUCUUGACAUCCCGAUGCUAUUUCUAGAGAUAGAAAGUUACUUCGGUACAUCGGUGACAGGUGGUGCAUGGUUGUCGUCAGCUCGUGUCGUGAGAUGUUGGGUUAAGUCCCGCAACGAGCGCAACCCCUAUUGUUAGUUGCCAUCAUUCAGUUGGGCACUCUAGCGAGACUGCCGGUAAUAAACCGGAGGAAGGUGGGGAUGACGUCAAAUCAUCAUGCCCCUUAUGACCUGGGCUACACACGUGCUACAAUGGUUGGUACAACGAGUUGCGAGUCGGUGACGGCGAGCUAAUCUCUUAAAGCCAAUCUCAGUUCGGAUUGUAGGCUGCAACUCGCCUACAUGAAGUCGGAAUCGCUAGUAAUCGCGGAUCAGCACGCCGCGGUGAAUACGUUCCCGGGCCUUGUACACACCGCCCGUCACACCACGAGAGUUUGUAACACCCGAAGUCGGUGAG